GAUGAACGCUGGCGGCGUGCCUAGUACAUGCAAGUCGAGCGAACAGACGAGGAGCUUGCUCCUCUGACGUUAGCGGCGGACGGGUGAGUAACACGUGGAUAACCUACCUAUAAGACUGGGAUAACUUCGGGAAGCCGGAGCUAAUACCGGAUAAUAUAUUGAACCGCAUGGUUCAAUAGUGAAAGACGGUUUUGCUGUCACUUAUAGAUGGAUCCGCGCCGCAUUAGCUAGUUGGUAAGGUAACGGCUUACCAAGGCGACGAUGCGUAGCCGACCUGAGAGGGUGAUCGGCCACACUGGAACUGAGACACGGUCCAGACUCCUACGGGAGGCAGCAGUAGGGAAUCUUCCGCAAUGGGCGAAAGCCUGACGGAGCAACGCCGCGUGAGUGAUGAAGGUCUUCGGAUCGUAAAACUCUGUUAUUAGGGAAGAACAAAUGUGUAAGUAACUAUGCACGUCUUGACGGUACCUAAUCAGAAAGCCACGGCUAACUACGUG
This 497-nucleotide ribosomal RNA is filed under the name uncultured bacterium. RNAcentral describes it as "partial 16S ribosomal RNA". It matches the Rfam family "Bacterial small subunit ribosomal RNA", at positions 28 to 507 of the family's 1533-position model. The record is from RNAcentral.